RNAcentral lists this ribosomal RNA (449 nucleotides) under uncultured bacterium. Its description in RNAcentral is "partial 16S ribosomal RNA". It matches the Rfam family "Bacterial small subunit ribosomal RNA", at positions 29 to 523 of the family's 1533-position model. The record is from RNAcentral.
AGCGAACGCUGGCGGCAGGCCUAACACAUGCAAGUCGAACGAAGUCUUCGGACUUAGUGGCGGACGGGUGAGUAACACGUGGGAACGUGCCUUUAGGUUCGGAAUAACUCAGGGAAACUUGUGCUAAUACCGCAUGUGCCCUUCGGGGGAAAGAUUUAUCGCCUUUAGAGCGGCCCGCUUCUGAUUAGCUAGUUGGUGGGGUAAUGGCCCACCAAGGCUACGAUCAGUAGCUGGUCUGAGAGGAUGACCAGCCACAUUGGGACUGAGACACGGCCCAAACUCCUACGGGAGGCAGCAGUGGGGAAUCUUGCGCAAUGGGCGAAAGCCUGACGCAGCCAUGCCGCGUGGAUGAUGAAGGUCUUAGGAUUGUAAAAUCCUUUCACCGGUGAAGAUAAUGACUGUAGCCGGAGAAGAAGCCCCGGCUAACUUCGUGCCAGCCGCCGCAGUAA